GAUGAACGCUGGCGGCGUGCCUAAUACAUGCAAGUCGAGCGAACAGACGAUGAGUUUGUUCCUCUGACGUUAGCGGCGGACGGGUGAGUAACAUGUGGAUCAUCCCCAUAUAAGACUGGGAUAUCUUCGGGAAACCGGAGCUAAUACCGGAUAAUAUACUGAACCGCAUUGUUCAAUAGUGAAAGUCGGUUUUGCUGUCACUUAUAGAUGGAUCCGCGCCGCUUUAGCUAGUUGUUAAGGUAACGGCUUACCAAGGCAACGAUGCGUAGCCGACCUGAGAGGGUGGUCGGCCACACUAGAACUGAGACGCGGUCCAGACUACUACGGUACGCAGCAGAAGGGUAUCUUCCGCAAUGGGCGGAAGCCUGACGGAGCAACGCCACGUGAGUGAUGAAGGUCUUCGGAUCGUAAUGCUCUGUUAUUAGGGAAGAACAAAUGUGUAAGUAACUAUGCACGUCUUGACGGUACCUAAUCAGAAAGCCACGGCUAACUACGUG
Molecule: ribosomal RNA, 497 nt
Filed under: uncultured bacterium
Lineage: Bacteria
Description: partial 16S ribosomal RNA
Rfam family: Bacterial small subunit ribosomal RNA
Source: RNAcentral